UACGGAGGAGGCAAGCGUUAUCCGGAAUUAUUGGGCGUAAAGCGUCCGUAGGUGGUUAUACAAGUCCAUUGUUAAAGCGUGGAGCUUAACUCCAUAUAGGCAGUGGAAACUGUGUGACUGGAGUGCGACAGGGGCAAGGGGAAUUCCUAGUGUAGCGGUGAAAUGCGUAGAGAUUAGGAAGAACACCGGUGGCGAAAGCGCCUUGCUGGGUCUGCACUGACACUGAUGGACGAAAGCCAGGGGAGCGAAAGGG
RNAcentral lists this ribosomal RNA (253 nucleotides) under uncultured bacterium. RNAcentral's name for it is "partial 16S ribosomal RNA". It matches the Rfam family "Bacterial small subunit ribosomal RNA", at positions 524 to 776 of the family's 1533-position model. The record is from RNAcentral.